ACCCUUAGAUGUUCUGGGCCGCACGCGUGUUACACUGACGCAUUCAUCGAGCUUAACACCUUGGCAGACAUGCUUGGGUAAUCUUUUGAAAGUGCGUCGUGAUGGGGAUAGAUGAUUGCAAUUAUUCAUCUUCAACGAGGAAUGCCUAGUAAACGCAAGUCAUCAGCUUGCAUUGAUUACGUCCCUGCCCUUUGUACACACCGCCCGUCGCUACUACCGAUUGAAUGGUUUAGUGAGCUUCAUGGACUGGAGGCUGCUGUGGGUUCGCCUACGGCAGCUUUCGGGAAGUGAAUCAAACUUGACUAUUUAGAGGAAGUAAAAGUCGUAACA
RNAcentral lists this ribosomal RNA (330 nucleotides) under uncultured eukaryote. RNAcentral describes it as "partial 18S ribosomal RNA". It matches the Rfam family "Eukaryotic small subunit ribosomal RNA", at positions 1469 to 1796 of the family's 1831-position model. The record is from RNAcentral.